AAUGAACGCUGGCGGCGCGCCUAAUACAUGCAAGUCGAGCGAGAAGACGUAGCAAUACGUUUGUAAAGCGGCGAACGGGUGAGGAAUACAUGGGUAACCUACCCUCGAGUGGGGAAUAACUAGCCGAAAGGUUAGCUAAUACCGCGUACGCUCCUUGGACUUCGGUUCAGGGAGGAAAGCGAUACCGUGGGUAUCGCGCUCUUGGUUGGGCUCAUGUCCUAUCAGCUUGUUGGUGAGGUAACGGCUCACCAAGGCUUCGACGGGUAGCUGGUCUGAGAGGACGAUCAGCCACACUGGCACUGCGACACGGGCCAGACUCCUACGGGAGGCAGCAGUAAGGAAUAUUGCGCAAUGGGUGAAAGCCUGACGCAGCGACGCCGCGUGGGGGA
This 389-nucleotide ribosomal RNA is filed under the name uncultured bacterium. RNAcentral's name for it is "bacterial SSU rRNA". It matches the Rfam family "Bacterial small subunit ribosomal RNA", at positions 29 to 408 of the family's 1533-position model. The record is from RNAcentral.